AGAGCGAACGUUAGCGGCGGGCCUAACACAUGCAAGUCGAACGCGAAAGCCUUUCGGGGUGAGUAGAGUGGCGCACGGGUGAGUAACACGUAGGUAAUCUGCCCUCAGGAAGGGGACAACUGCCCGAAAGGGCAGCUAAUACCGUAUAAGACCACGGCGUCUAUGGACGAAGUGGUAAAAGGUGGCCUCUGCUUGCAAGCUACCACCUGAGGAUGAGCCUGCGUACCAUCAGCUAGUUGGUGGGGUAAUGGCCUACCGAAGGCUAAGACGGUUAGCUGGUCUGAGAGGAUGAUCAGCCACACUGGCACUGAAACACGGGCCAGACUCCUAGGGAGGCAGCAGUGGGAAUAGUUGGACAAGUGGGCGCAAGCCUGAUCCGAGCCACGCCGCGUGAUGAUGAAGGCCUUCGGUUGUAAGCUCGUGGUGGGAGGAAGGAAAAAGGUAGGGAAGAACGAACCGCCCCGCCGUCGACCGUACCUCCUA
Molecule: ribosomal RNA, 483 nt
Filed under: uncultured soil bacterium
Lineage: Bacteria
Description: bacterial SSU rRNA
Rfam family: Bacterial small subunit ribosomal RNA
Source: RNAcentral